GUAUUGAUUUAGGUUCUUUGCUUGAUUAGGAAGCAACCUAUCCUUAAUGCAAAGCCAUUCACUUGAUCCAUGAUCAAGUUGAAUUAGAUUUGAAUCAAGGAAGGUUAAAUCUCCCAUGUAUAUUUGCUUGAUUAGGAAGCAACCUAUCCUUAAUGCAAAGCCAUUCACUUGAUCCAUGAUCAAGUUGAAUUAGAUUUGAAUCAAGGAAGGUUAAAUCUCCCAUGUAUCAAGGCUAACCACCAAUCUUUAACUCAUUGAUCAGAAAAAGAAAAAAAAGAAGAAGAAGAAGAAGAAUAUUAAAGUACAUUAAUGGAA
This 315-nucleotide long non-coding RNA is filed under the name Lathyrus oleraceus (garden pea). Its description in RNAcentral is "Pisum sativum (pea) long non-coding RNA (PSAT_LNC029738)". The record is from RNAcentral. Lineage: Eukaryota; Viridiplantae; Streptophyta; Magnoliopsida; Fabales; Fabaceae.